This 74-nucleotide transfer RNA is filed under the name Omnitrophica WOR_2 bacterium RIFCSPHIGHO2_01_FULL_52_10. RNAcentral's name for it is "tRNA-Val". It matches the Rfam family "tRNA". Rfam says of the family: Transfer RNA (tRNA) molecules are approximately 80 nucleotides in length. Lineage: Bacteria; Pseudomonadati; Candidatus Omnitrophota. RNAcentral also lists the same sequence under 1 other name. The record is from RNAcentral.
GGGCGGUUAGCUCAGCUGGUUAGAGCAUCUGAUUUACAUUCAGAAGGCCGAGGGUUCGAUCCCUUCACCGCCCA